This 447-nucleotide ribosomal RNA is filed under the name uncultured bacterium. Its description in RNAcentral is "bacterial SSU rRNA". It matches the Rfam family "Bacterial small subunit ribosomal RNA", at positions 355 to 825 of the family's 1533-position model. The record is from RNAcentral.
UCGGGAAUUUUGGGCAAUGGGCGAAAGCCUGACCCAGCAACGCCGCGUGAAGGAUGAAGUAUUUCGGUAUGUAAACUUCGAAAGAAUAGGAAGAAUAAAUGACGGUACUAUUUAUAAGGUCCGGCUAACUACGUGCCAGCAGCCGCGGUAAUACGUAGGGACCAAGCGUUGUUCGGAUUUACUGGGCGUAAAGGGCGCGUAGGCGGCAAUUCAAGUCAUCUGUGAAAUCUCCGGGCUUAACUCGGAACGGUCAGAUGAUACUGCUUUGCUAGAGUGCAGAAGGGGCAAUCGGAAUUCCUGGUGUAGCGGUGAAAUGCGUAGAUAUCAAGAGGAACACCUGCGGCGAAGGCGGGUUGCUGGGCUAACACUGACGCUGAGGCGCGAAAGCUAGGGUAGCAAACGGGAUUAGAUACCCAAGUAGUCCCUGAGCGGGCUGGCAAGGCGCAU